Molecule: ribosomal RNA, 253 nt
Filed under: uncultured bacterium
Lineage: Bacteria
Description: partial 16S ribosomal RNA
Rfam family: Bacterial small subunit ribosomal RNA
Source: RNAcentral
UACGUAGGGUGCGAGCGUUGUUCGGAAUUACUGGGCGUAAAGCGUGCGCAGGCGGUUCGUCGUGUCCGAUGUGAAAGCCCCGGGCUCAACCUGGGAAUGGCAUUGGGAACUGGCGGACUCGAGUGUGGCAGAGGGGGGUGGAAUUCCGCGUGUAGCAGUGAAAUGCGUAGAGAUGCGGAGGAACACCGAUGGCGAAGGCAGCCCCCUGGGCUAACACUGACGCUCAGGCACGAAAGCGUGGGGAGCAAACAGG